Molecule: long non-coding RNA, 847 nt
Filed under: Mytilus galloprovincialis (Mediterranean mussel)
Lineage: Eukaryota; Metazoa; Mollusca; Bivalvia; Mytilida; Mytilidae
Source: RNAcentral
AGGUAUUGUGAGGAAGAUAACUAUAUUGAUUUUGAGGACAUUAAGUCUACAUUUUUAUGGCCCCGCAACGAAGUUGUCGGUGCCAUAUAGUUUUACCCUUGUGCAUAGUUCUGUAAUUCCGUCAUUCUGCAACAAACCAUUAUACAGAGUUUUUUUUUAAACGCCUUCAUAUGCUUGGCUGAUUUUUGGUAUGUGAGUUAACCAUGAAGAGUUACAGAUCAAGUUUAAGUUUCAUUCUGCUCCGUUAUUUUUUGCCAAAAUUAUGGGCUUUUGGACUUUGAUAAAUUGUUGAAAAUCACAGUUAUACAGACUUUUUUUCUAAACGCUUUCAGAUAUUGGGAUGAUUUUUGGUAUGUUAGUUACUCAUGAUGAGUUACAGAUCAAAUUUAAGUUUUGUUCUGCUCCGCUAAUUUUUGCCAAAAUUAAGGGUUUACAAACUUUGAAAAUUGUUGAAAAUCACAGUUAUACAGGCUUUUUUUCUAUACGCCUCCAGAUUUUGAGCUGAUUUUUGAUAUGUGAGAUUACCAUCAUGUUUGUGUCCACAUGUGUUAUUGAAAUUGCAGAUUUUUCAACUUUUUGAGACGGGGCCAUUCGUGUCACUUUGACACGUCUACUUUUAGUUUAUUGUCCAUGACCUCAUUUCAUUCCUUUACCAAGGGUUAUAUCUAGUUUUAGUUUAUUGUCCAUGACCUCAUUUCAUCUUCCUUUACCAAGGGUUACAAUCCAGUAUCCUCCUCUCCACCCUUGGGAGAAUAAGCCAAUAUUUGUGAAAACAAUGUUGCACAAUCUAUUGGUUGAUAAAAAUCACACUUAUUCUCAAAAUACAUUAUUUUUUACCAAAUUGUAG